UGCUUAAAUUGCUCGGGGCAGUCCACGCGUACACAGCUGAAGUCUUCUUUAGCUACCACAUCACACUGACAGAGAAAAUACGAGCCUGGUUAGGUAGGAAGGUCAGAACAGUCUUAUUCUAGGAGGGCAGCAGUGCUCACAGCCAGAGCCUGUAAACGGCGGGUGAAUUGCACCAGAUGGAAACAAAAAAAUAGCACGGGCUUCACACAGUCGGGAGGAUUCAAUGAGAUUCUAUCAGGUGCCUAGCACAUAGGAGGCACUCCAUAAAGGAGAGCUGCCUCUUGUCCUGUCAGGCUGGAAGCCCCCUGGAUAGUCUAUUCUAGAGGAACGGAGAGCUUCAUAAGAAUUGCUUCUUCGUAGCUGUGAGGCCGUGGGCAUGUGAAGAGCCAGGAAUACGAAACACAAAAAACAUUACGACUACAUGGCACCUCGGGAACGAGGAGGAAAGCCUCAGCCUAACAACGACACGCAGCAGUAAAGUCGGCAGCUUUCCCUUUAAGUAGGGCGGGCCGCCCCGCGGACGGAGCCCUCCGGAAGUCGCUGCGCGCCGCCACGAGAUCAGAUUCCUCCGCCGAGCGCGGCGCCGGGUCCCCCGGCUUCGCCCCUGUCUGCACCAGACUUGCUCCUCUCCCCGCCGCCCGACGGCAACAGGUCUUCCGGCUGCCGCUUCUCCGGCCGAUACUGCCGGUGACCUGCCCGCCGGCGCUCGGGCCUAGGCCUGGCCUGGUCUGCGGAGGCCGCCGCACGCCGCCGGCGGAACCUGGCCCCGAGCCCGCCACGCACUUCCGGCGACGCCAGGCGGGGACUGAGGCGGGCGGGGCGCGGCGCGGCGGCCCUGAUGGACGCGCUGGCGGUCCUGAUGCAGGCUUCCUGACCCAGAACGAUGUCCUGCGCAGGGAGAACACCAGCUCAUGGGCCAGGUGCGUCGCCUGCUGUGCGAGAAAGCCAACCUGCUGGCCCAGGUGCAGCCGCCGGCCUGCCCGGGGGCCCUUCCCGAAACAUUUAAACGCGACUCCGCCCGGCUGCCCGUUUUCUUGAUGCAGGCGGCUUCUUACAUGAGGCUCUUCGAAGCCAGAUUCUCCAGCGACACCCUGAAGGUGGCAUUUCUAAUCAGUCGCCUCGCUGGGCCUGCAGAGGAGUGGGUAGUCCCCUACAUCAGAGGGAGAGCCCUAUCCUAGCUCAAUACGAGGGCUUCGUGGACGCGCUGAAGCGGGCCUUUUGUAGAAAACAACGGGGCCGGGACCCCUUGUGUUGGGAGGGACGGCCUCCAGCCCCUGCGCUCCCCACAAGCCCCGUCCUGCUUGGCUUUGGUUCACAAAGAGCUGUCCAGUUCCCAGCGGCUGCGCCCUGAGCCUGGCUAGGAAGCUUGGCGCCGCCUGUUCUUGCCAGCCCCUCGCCUUUGCCCAGCCCCUGGCCGGGGACCUCUUGGAGAUUGAGUGGACCACCCAGAGUCACGCCUUUGCCACCUGCCGACAGUUUAUAUACCUGAGGACCAUAGUAAAAACAUCGAAUUAUAUUUUUGCGGGAUGUGAUUAAAGACAGGUUAUUUUAUCAUUGCCUGUUAGCAUUACAAGUGUGUGUAAGGAAACUGGGCCCCUCAUAUACCAUACUUUGGCAGCAGAUACUACUAACAAAAUAAAUUGAACCUUGGUCCUAUUGGCUAAUAAUUUCAAAGCAGUGUUUUACCCGCAGUAAAUAAAAGUCUACAGGUGGGGCCAGCUGAUGGUGCAGCAGUUAAGUUCACACGUUCUGCUUCGGCGGCCCUGGGUUUGCCAGUUCAGAUCCCGGGUGGGCACAUGGCACCACUUGGCAAGCCAUGCUGUGAUAGGUGUCCCACGUAUAAAGUGGAGAAAGAUGGGCAUGGAUGUUAGCUCAGGACCAGUCUUCCUCAGCAAAAAGAGGAGGAUUGGCAGCAAAUGUUAGCUCAGGGCUAAUCUUCCUAAAAAAAAAAAAAAAAAAAAAAAAGUCUACAAGAUAAAGCGCCAAAAACUUUUUUCAGUAAACCUCACAGGAGCACAGAUUUGAUAAGAUACAAAACCUUUCUAAUGAAAGAUUAACAUCAACGUUUAAUAAUUAGAGCAUGAAAAAAAUGUCACUCAGAAGUCAGACUAUCUCAUACUUGAUUUUCUAUAGCUGUCUCUCUUUUUUUGCAUAACUUAGCUCUCCACCAAAAGAAAAAAACAAGAGA
Long non-coding RNA from Equus caballus (horse), 2188 nucleotides. The record is from Ensembl. Lineage: Eukaryota; Metazoa; Chordata; Mammalia; Perissodactyla; Equidae.